This 775-nucleotide ribosomal RNA is filed under the name Molgolaimus sp. TAN1708-NZ. Its description in RNAcentral is "partial large subunit ribosomal RNA". It matches the Rfam family "Eukaryotic large subunit ribosomal RNA", at positions 345 to 949 of the family's 3401-position model. Lineage: Eukaryota; Metazoa; Nematoda; Chromadorea; Desmodorida; Desmodoridae. The record is from RNAcentral.
CAAGUACCCGUGAGGGAAAGUUGCAAAGAACUUUGAAGAGAGAGUUCAAGAGGGCGUGAAACCGCUCAGAAGCAAACAGGUGGAGCUGAAGUGGCAGUCGACUGGAUUCAGCCUUUGUGCUGGGCAGGGAGGUUGAGAGGGACUUGCGCCCAAUCGGCCGUUAAUACCUACCCUCACUGGGCGCAUUUCCAGUCGACGAGCACUGGGACUGGUGGUGGAGCUCGCGGAAGUUGCGGAAUGCGGUCCAGCGCCUCGGCGUUGGUCACCCUUUCGCUUCGGAAGUGAAGUCUCUGCUACCAGUAACGUCGGUGCCCGCCCAAACUCGUUAGUGUGGAAGUUUCGGUGACUCCGUACCUCUCGGGUGCUUGCACGCGUUUGGUGAGUUGCCGUUACGGAAGCUCGAUUCGAGAAGGCGCCGAUCCCGGUGUUACAGUCAGCCACCCACCUGACCCGUCUUGAAACACGGACCAAGGAGUCUAACAUGUGCGCGAGUUAGCGAGUCGAGAAACUCAAUAGCGUAAUGAAGGUAAAAGUCAGUUCGGCUGACCGAAAGGCGAUCCUUGGCCACUGGCCUUGGCGCAGCCUAGUCCCGUCUUCUCUGCAUUGUCAGUGAGGCGGAGACAGAGCGUACACGUUGGGACCCGAAAGAUGGUGAACUAUGCCUAAGCAGGACGAAGCCAGAGGAAACUCUGGUGGAGGCCCGCAGCGGUUCUGACGUGCAAAUCGAUCGUCAGACUCGGGUAUAGGGGCGAAAGACUAAUCGAACCAUCUAGUA